CUUUUUUGACAUUUGUGUUUAUCACUGAUACCCUCUUAUGCCAAGGGACACAGAUGACUAUUAACUGGGAAGGGUGGGUCCCUGCCACUCAGUCACCCACUGAGAAGAGCAGGCACUGAUCCAGUUGCAAGAGCUGAAGUCAAAAGGAAGAGUAUGACUGGAAGGGAUUGACAGGCAAAGUCCCAGCACACACGUGGAGGUAGGGGUGAGUGGAAGUAUCCUGAUGGAAGGCAGAACAUAGACUUAAGGAAUUCAAAACUCCAAGCACGCAGUUGACAUCAGAGAAUUUCAGAUAUGAGUGGGAAUGCUUUUCCUUUAUUUGUUCUCCCUUAUUUAUUUAUUUAUUUUUGCCGUUUCACAUGAACCACAGUUUUAUAGUCCCUUAAAAUCCUGCUUUGCAAGACUGUUUCUUCUUUUCCAUUUUCAAUACCUUUUAGAGUGUCUUUUGUUAGGUUAUGAAGCAUAUUUUAAGAGAGUUUUUUUACCACAUGUUUGUAGGAAAAAGAAAGAACAUAAAGUUUAUAUGAAAGCAAAUCCACCACCUCGCACUCAUUAGGAGGCUAUUAUUAAAAAAACCAGA
This is a non-coding RNA of Ceratotherium simum simum (southern white rhinoceros), 580 nucleotides long. NCBI's taxonomy places the organism in Eukaryota, Metazoa, Chordata, Mammalia, Perissodactyla, Rhinocerotidae. The record is from RefSeq and is a predicted model, not a curated record.